Non-coding RNA from Schizosaccharomyces pombe (fission yeast), 2704 nucleotides. The record is from the annotation of a GenBank genome assembly. NCBI's taxonomy places the organism in Eukaryota, Fungi, Ascomycota, Schizosaccharomycetes, Schizosaccharomycetales, Schizosaccharomycetaceae.
UAAGGUUAAGUGGACUUUGCCAAAGAGCAAGUUGUUGGGUAGCUUCCAGCCUGCUCAUUUUUCCGUAUUGAACGCAAACAUCAAUCAAGGCAUUUUCAACACCAUCUAAAAAUCCCUUUUUACCACCACAAAGAUAAACCUUCCCAUGAGGAUGACUAAGAACACUCCAUACAAUGUCACCACGGUGUCGAAUCUCGUCCUGUACAUAGGCAUGUUGGUGAGAACGUGAUUCAACAACAAGAUGGUUGGGGCCACUAGUACCGUCUUUUUUAACUUCGAAGGAAUCCAUUUCAGUUUCGGUUUGUUGGCUGACUGUAGAAGAUGCAUCAUCGUCUGAAGACUUUUGAAGCGGGUUUUCCCACUCACCAUGAUAGAGCUCAUCCAAUUCUUGGUCGCGGCAUCCAUGGAAAACCCAAACUUUACCAGCACAAGUGGCAUUUGUAAGACGUCGUUGCACAAAACCUCUAAAGGGAGCAACACCUACACCGGCACCGAUUAGGCACAUAGGGCCAUCAGAAGCAAAAUGUGUGGCAAAUGCGUUUUUGUGCAGACCGCGGUACAUUGGAAGGACGAGAUCUCGUUCACCAUUUAAAAAUCUCAAUGCCAAUCUUUUCAAAAAACCAGAACCAAUACCAGAACGAGUGCCUCCUUCAACUUUAUUGAUUUCAACAACUGUAACCGCAAAUUCCAAUACAUUAUUACUGACCUUGGGAUCGUUUGACAAAGAAUACCAUCUAGGCAUAAGCUGGGGAAGCACGGUUAAAAGGUGAUCAAGAGGAAGUUGAACACUAGGGAAAGCCUUUAGCAGAGUGAUAAGUGUAACGUUGUGGUCCCUUAAAUCACAGAAAGCACGUUGUCCCAAACGACUGACCAAAAACAACAAAACUUGCCGCUCGGUAUCAUCCUUGGCGUAUUCGGCAAGUAACCGAAUAAGCUGCUUUUUUGGGGCGACAGACAUAAACUCCACGGUCCAUUUAAGAAGCUCACGCCUGGUUGUAACGAGUUCUCUAGGUGUGUCUUCUGCCCAGAUGGUGGGCCAACGACCUCCAUCGGUUUUUAAAAGGACAGGGGCAUCUGCCUGGUCGGGAUUGAUAUGAAGUAAUUGUAAAAGCUCAUCCACAUCCUCUUCGUUGUUGGGAGCCAUUACACCAAACGACCCUCCAACCAUCCACUCUUCGCCUUCAGGAAGGGGAUAGUUGGAAACGUCUAGUUCAAAAUGGAACACACGUUUGACAGCACCUGGUUUAGUGAGCUCACGAACGUCUAGUAUAGGGGCGGGAAAGACACUGAACGGAGGGUGUGGUUGAACAUAGUGAGGAGGCAUUCUAGAAGGAGUUGAAUGAAUUUGAAAGUUGGGGUCUUCUUUGGCACGAGCCUCAUCGAUAUCAAUCAAAGAGACAUGAUUCUCGGGAACUUUGGGAAUUCUGUCAAGAGUAAUAUUUUCAUGUAGAAGACCUAGAUCCAUGUUCAAAGCCUGGAAGGUAGGGUUUAAUGAAAGUUUGGAGAAGGUUUUGGAAAGUUUAUUUACCGACUCAUCGACAUUGGCCGAUUCAUGAGGUUCCGAAGGCGAGCAACGACAGUUUAUACAACCAUUCUCGUUGGAAACACACGUUUUAAAGUUCGAAGAGGGAGAUGAGGUACGCGGAGAUGGUAGGAUCUCUGCCUUAAGUGAGGUUGCAACAGAAGGUGCCAUCUUGAGAAAAAAUAAAGUAGAAGUGGAUAGAGAAAAGUAUUAAAAAUAGUAAGGGGAAAAAGGCAAACAAGCUGCCGGAUGAAAAGGAAUUACAAAUGGAAACUAACAAGACAGUGAAGACUUUUAAAUAAACAAAAUGACAAUCGUAAGGAAGAAAGUCAAGGAUGUAAAAAGUAGAAAACAAAACAAAACAAAAGAAAAAAAAAGAAUAAAAUUUUAGAGAAGGGGAAGAAAACGAGUAAACGGAUUAAAAAUAAGAUAGAUACACAAGACACAACGAUUCCAAACCAAUGGGUGGGGUAACCCGAAUCCUAGAAAGAUAAUUUUAAAUAAAAAGAAGGAGAAGACGUAAAAGGAUAAACCGAUUAGUACGAUGUUCAAAGAAAUUUUUGGAAUCUACAGGCGUGGUAAAAGUAGAGUUAAAACCAGACGAUCUGAAGGAAAAAGCAAAGGCGAUAAAAAGGGCUGGCAAAUGAGAACGAGUGAAGCAAACAAACAAAUGUGGAAGAAUAAUUUGUAUUGUAUUUGUUUUGUAUCAGAUAUGAAGCAAAGUCGCCUCUCUUGGGUGGUGUAUGUGUACGAAGAUACAAGUAGGUGGUAGUAGGACAGGUGAAGAUGCUAGCUACCUUGUUAACAGGAAUGAGAUGUACGGUACCUUAAGCCACCAGGGCAAAACAAAGUGUCUGUUAAUAAACUCACCCAACAGAUGACUAAAAAGGUGCUCAAGCUUGCGCAACUUGAGUAGAAGGGCCAAUAAAAAAAAAUGAUCUGAUAAAAAAUUUUUAGUCAAAUUAAAAUCACACGUUAUGUUCCUCCGACAGCCCGUAACGAAGAGCGAUCAAAUAGGAAUGCCACGGCUCAAUAAUGACGCAAAGAUCGACGAUUCAGAUUGAAAACGAGAUUUACCACUGACGAAGGUUGGAAUGACAAGCUUGGACUAGGAUUGCUGAUGAGAAAAUGGAUGUUGGGAGUAGAGUAUGCAAAAGUUAUUGUAGAAGGGCUAAAAAGAAA